Molecule: non-coding RNA, 45 nt
Organism: Schistosoma mattheei
Lineage: Eukaryota; Metazoa; Platyhelminthes; Trematoda; Strigeidida; Schistosomatidae
Source: Rfam
AUCCAGUUGACGAGUCUUUAAUGGGACGAAACGCGCGUCCUAGAU